Molecule: ribosomal RNA, 253 nt
Filed under: uncultured bacterium
Lineage: Bacteria
Description: partial 16S ribosomal RNA
Rfam family: Bacterial small subunit ribosomal RNA
Source: RNAcentral
UACGUAGGGGGCGAGCGUUGUCCGGAAUCACUGGGCGUAAAGGGUGCGUAGGCGGGCUUGUCAGUCUCGGGUGAAAGGCCCCGGCUCAACCGGGGAGAUGCCUGGGAAACUGCAAGUCUUGAGGGCUGGAGAGGAUAGCGGAAUUCCCGGUGUAGCGGUGGAAUGCGUAGAGAUCGGGAAGAACACCAGUGGCGAAGGCGGCUAUCUGGACAGACCCUGACGCUGAGGCACGAAAGCUGGGGGAGCGAACAGG